UGGGGUAUAUUGCACAAUGGGGGAAACCCUGAUGCAGCGACGCCGCGUGAACGAAGAAGGUAUUCGUAUCGUAAAGUUCUGUCCUAUGGGAAGAUAAUGACAGUACCAUAGAAGAAAGCUCCGGCUAAAUACGUGCCAGCAGCCGCGGUAAUACGUAUGGCGCGAGCGUUGUCCGGAAUUAUUGGGCGUAAAGGGUACGCAGGCGGUUUAAUAAGUCGAAUGUUAAAGAUCGGGGCUCAACCCCGCAAAGCAUUGGAAACUGAUAAACUUAGUAGUGGAGAGGAAAGUGGAAUUCCUCGGGUAGUGGUGAACAACGUAGAUAUUAGGAGGAAUACCAGUAGCGAAGGCGACUUUCUGGACACAAACUGACGCUGAGGUACGAAAGCGUGGGGAGCAAACAGG
Molecule: ribosomal RNA, 402 nt
Filed under: bacterium
Lineage: Bacteria
Description: partial 16S ribosomal RNA
Rfam family: Bacterial small subunit ribosomal RNA
Source: RNAcentral